This 605-nucleotide long non-coding RNA is filed under the name Homo sapiens (human). Its description in RNAcentral is "non-protein coding lnc-NBPF3-45:1". The record is from RNAcentral. Lineage: Eukaryota; Metazoa; Chordata; Mammalia; Primates; Hominidae.
UGAAGGUUAAGCAGGGGUACCACACAUCCCAGUGGGUAGAGCCCUUGGGACUGUGAGUUUGGGUCCCCUGGGCCUAUGUGACCCUGGAGGAGGAACUCCAUCAAUGGUGUCUCCCUGCGCUGGGAGGAUUAUUCCCGCUUCUAAGAGGCGUAUCUGAGUGGAGUGGGCCUGGCAACUAAGCGUCCAUUCAUCCUAAGCUCGCCUUUGGGAAGAGUUGUGUGCCAGUUCACCAAGUGGCCCCAAGAUUCUCCCAAAUACUUCCCUUGGUCUACCUGGCAGAAGUCCUCCGAGAAUUGGGAACUCAGGUAUUGGGAGGGCAAGAGGAAGAGGGUGGUACUGCCUCCCGGAUAAGGUGACCAACUUUCCCAGUUUGCCCCGGACUGGGGGAGUGGGUUCCAGGGAUGCAGGGCUUUCCACGCUAAAACAGAAACAGCCGUAGACUCUGCCGGCCACCUGGGCUGUGGCCCCAGAAGCAGGUGGCCGGGAGGCUCUAGGGAUGGCGGGGGCAGGUGAGGGGAGACUGGUGGGCUCCGGAAGGCUUCUCAGCGCGGAGCUCCAGCUGCGGGGAGGCGCGGCCCCUCCCGGAUGCCGGGACGAGGGAGGGG